RNAcentral lists this long non-coding RNA (1950 nucleotides) under Sinocyclocheilus grahami. Its description in RNAcentral is "lncRNA (ENSSGRG00000008903.1)". The record is from RNAcentral. Lineage: Eukaryota; Metazoa; Chordata; Actinopteri; Cypriniformes; Cyprinidae.
AUUCGCUUCUCGUUUAACUGUGAGUCCCCGUCACUGAAUGUAACAAAAAAGGAAAAGAAAAAAAGAAACAGGUCAAGGGCGCGCGCUGAGAGAACCAGGUGCGGGCGCUCUCGUGGACGCCAAACCACAUGAUACAAGCAGCCAUCCGAUCGCGGAAGUGCGACUUUUUUUGGACCGUGGACAAGGGGGGUAGACUUGGGGGAGGAAAGGAAGGCAGAGCCGAAAAGAAAAGUUUCAUUACAUUACUCGUAUUCGACGUUUACAUUAGCCUGGCGAGCCCAGUGCUAUAUAUCUGGACCGUCUUUUGUUCCUCAAAUGUGACAUUUUCAGCAGUUGAUCUGAAAAGUGCUUAGGAGAGCAGGACCGGAAUCGAAGAGCCGAGAGGAAGCGAGCGGGAAAACUGACACACAAAAGAGUGUUUUCCGAUGGAGUAUGUGUGUGUGUGCUCACCAGACAUGCCCAUGCCCUGGAGCCAAGGACCAUGAUGCAACUGUGUUUAAGCUCGAAUAUUCCUUCCCUUCAGACGUUUCUGAUGGAAAUUUCAGCACAGAGAUGAGACAGGGAAGAAGCAGCUCAAAAAACAGAAUCAAUGCACCUUUGCAGCAUACACAGUCCGCCGUGUCCUUAGAAAGCAAGAGCGCGGACAGAGUGCACUCUAGGAUUUGUAGUUCAGCUGACUCUUCCUCAUAACCCUGAAUUCAGGUCACUCGACUGAAUGACUCACAAAUCAACCCUCUAGUUAUUCUGACACAUUGAUUAGAUGCUUAUUACAUGGUUGGUCUGGAUUUGUAAACGCAUACACCAAGAUAACCUUGAGGAUGUGUCAAAUGACCUGCAUUAUGCUUUUGCUAGGCAUUGGCUUGUUGAUGUGGUUGAGGAUGGUUCAGACAAAAAUGAAAAUUCUGACAUUUACUUGCCCUCAUGUCAUUCCAAUUCAAUUUUUUUUUAUUUUUUUUUUAUGUAGUUUUGUUUAGGACCCCAUUGACUUUCAUUAUAUGGACAAACACAGUUUUUCAGAAUAUUUUAUGUUCCACAGAAGAAAGUAGGUCAUACAGGUUUAAAACGAUACAAGGUGGGUAAAUUAAUGACAGAAUUUUCAUUUCAAGGUGAUCUAUAUCUUUAAAGUGUCCGAUUUAUAAAAAUAAAAUAAAAAAGGUAAUUAUGUGGAGGAUUGUGGAAUAUCAAGAGGAAGUAGACAGAAAUGACUAGCCCCCAACUUGCCUGCUCUUAAGUUACCAUGGGAAGAGCGUUGAGGGCAGACUUCAUGCUCCUCACCUGCUUUUUCUCUCCAUCCAUUGAUGCGCUUACUCUUUCUAUCAGCCACCAUCAUAAUUAUGUGCAUUAGAGAGAGAGGUGCUCAGCUGCUUGUGCAUGCAUGCACACUCUCAUAAAUGCAUAAAUGACUGACACUGCAACGAGAGAGCGAGAGAGGAAGGGAAGGAGGGGGCAGGAGUGCAGGGGGAAUCAGCACUAGCAUCAGUGAGAGAGAGCAAUAGACCAGACAGGGAGGAGAGUAGAAUAGAGGACAGUUGGCUACAUCGCUCCUCACACACAGACGGAGGUGGAGAGAGGAGAGGAUGAGACACUGUGGGGGAAGGAGAGGACAAAAGAAGACCGCCGUUCAUCACGCCAUUCCAAAGAAGUGAGGCUAGACAAGACUGACGCUGAACGAGGGAGCUGGCGUGACUUUGUGAUUUUGAAGAGAACAGAAGAAAAGGAUAAAAGAAAAGAGCGUGUUUUUGUCUUUCAGGGAGGGGGCUGAGCAAGAAAGCAAAUGAAGGAGAAGGAGGAGAAUUGUCUGGCACUGUUUAAAUAUUAACGUGAUUAUGAUUUUAACAUGGAGGUCGUUCGUUUUUACCUAAAAUGUGUCUCUCUCAUUCUCUUUUUAAUCCAAGGAUUUAGUGGAUGAAAUAACGCUCUUACUUUCUGCAGCAACUACACCGUGAGGAC